This 25-nucleotide non-coding RNA is filed under the name Cricetulus griseus (Chinese hamster). The record is from RNAcentral. Lineage: Eukaryota; Metazoa; Chordata; Mammalia; Rodentia; Cricetidae.
GAGGGACAACAGGACCAGGGCGGCC